UGCGCAGGUGGCCAAGUGUGUGAAGCGUGAAAGCCCGGAGCUCAACUCCGGAAUUGCACCUCAAACUACAUGGCUAGAGCAUUGGAGAGGGGAGCAGAAUUCACGGUGUAGCAGUGAAAUGCGUAGAUAUCGUGAGGAAUACCAGAGGCGAAGGCGGCUCCCUGGACAAUUGCUGACACUCAGGCACGAAAGCGUGGGGAGCAAAAGGGAUUAGAUACCCCUGUAGUCCACGCCCUAAACGGUGCACACUAGGUCUUGGCGGAUUCGACCCCCCCAGGGCCCAAGCUAACGCGUUAAGUGUGCCGCCUGAGGACUACGGCCGCAAGGCUAAA
RNAcentral lists this ribosomal RNA (332 nucleotides) under uncultured bacterium. RNAcentral describes it as "bacterial SSU rRNA". It matches the Rfam family "Bacterial small subunit ribosomal RNA", at positions 568 to 898 of the family's 1533-position model. The record is from RNAcentral.